Molecule: unclassified non-coding RNA, 328 nt
Filed under: soil metagenome
Description: partial contains 5.8S ribosomal RNA, internal transcribed spacer 2, and large subunit ribosomal RNA
Rfam family: 5.8S ribosomal RNA (bases 1-119)
Source: RNAcentral
AUGAAGAACGCAGCGAAAUGCGAUAAGUAAUGUGAAUUGCAGAAUUCAGUGAAUCAUCGAAUCUUUGAACGCACAUUGCGCCCUCUGGUAUUCCGGGGGGCAUGCCUGUUCGAGCGUCAUUAUAACCACUCAAGCUCUCGCUUGGUAUUGGGGUUCGCGGUUCCGCGGCCCCUAAAAUCAGUGGCGGUGCCUGUCGGCUCUACGCGUAGUAAUACUCCUCGCGAUUGAGUCCGGUAGGUCUACUUGCCAGCAACCCCCAAUUUUUACAGGUUGACCUCGGAUCAGGUAGGGAUACCCGCUGAACUUAAGCAUAUCAAUAAGCGGAGGA